This 776-nucleotide ribosomal RNA is filed under the name uncultured Basidiomycota. RNAcentral's name for it is "LSU rRNA". It matches the Rfam family "Eukaryotic large subunit ribosomal RNA", at positions 399 to 1169 of the family's 3401-position model. Lineage: Eukaryota; Fungi; Basidiomycota. The record is from RNAcentral.
GUGAAAUUGUUGAAAGGGAAACGCUUGAAGUCAGUCAUGUCGUCCAGGGAUCAACCUUGCUUUUGCUUGGUGCACUUUCUGGUUUGACAGGUCAGCAUCAAUUUUGACCAUUGGAAAAAGGCUAAGGGAAUGUGGCAUCUUUGGAUGUGUUAUAGCCCUUGGUCGCAUACAAUGGUUGGGAUUGAGGAACUCAGCACGCCGAAAGGCCGGGUUUUAAACCACGUUCGUGCUUAGGAUGCUGGCAAUAUGGCUUUAAUCGACCCGUCUUGAAACACGGACCAAGGAGUCUAACAUGCCUGCGAGUGUUUGGGUGGAAAACCCGAGCGCGUAAUGAAAGUGAAAAGUUGAGAUCCCUGUCGUGGGGAGCAUCGACGCCCGGACCAGACCUUUUGUGACGGUUCCGCGGUAGAGCAUGUAUGUUGGGACCCGAAAGAUGGUGAACUAUGCCUGAAUAGGGUGAAUCCAGAGGAAACUCUGGUGGAGGCUCGUAGCGAUUCUGACGUGCAAAUCGAUCGUCAAAUUUGGGUAUAGGGGCGAAAGACUAAUCGAACCAUCUAGUAGCUGGUUCCUGCCGAGGUUUCCCUCAGGAUAGCAGAAACUCAUAUCAGAUUUAUGUGGUAAAGCGAAUGAUUAGAGGCCUUGGGGUUGAAACAACCUUAACCUAUUCUCAAACUUUAAAUAUGUAAGAACAAGCCGUCUCUUGAUUGGACCGCUUGGCGAUUGAGAGUUUCUAGUGGCCAUUUUUGGUAAGCAGAACUGGCGAUGCGGGAUGAACC